GAUGAACGCUGGCGGCGUGCCUAAUACAUGCAAGUCGAGCGAAUGGAUUGAGAGCUUGCUCUUAUGAAGUUAGCGGCGGACGGGUGAGUAACACGUGGGUAACCUGCCCAUAAGACUGGGAUAACUCCGGGAAACCGGGGCUAAUACCGGAUAACAUUUUGAACCGCAUGGUUCGAAAUUGAAAGGCGGCUUCGGCUGUCACUUAUGGAUGGACCCGCGUCGCAUUAGCUAGUUGGUGAGGUAACGGCUCACCAAGGCAACGAUGCGUAGCCGACCUGAGGUGGUGAUCGGCCACACUGGGACUGAGACACGGCCCAGACUCCUACGGGAGGCAGCAGUAGGGAAUCUUCCGCAAUGGACGAGAGUCUGACGGAGCAACGCCGCGUGAGUGACGAAGGCUUUCGGGUCGUAAAACUCUGUUGUUAGGGAAGAACAAGUGCUAGUUGAAUAAGCUGGCACCUUGACGGUACCUAACCAGAAAGCCACGGCUAACUACGUGCCAGCCGCCGCAGUAA
This 515-nucleotide ribosomal RNA is filed under the name uncultured bacterium. Its description in RNAcentral is "partial 16S ribosomal RNA". It matches the Rfam family "Bacterial small subunit ribosomal RNA", at positions 28 to 523 of the family's 1533-position model. The record is from RNAcentral.